RNAcentral lists this ribosomal RNA (720 nucleotides) under Bacillus aerius. RNAcentral describes it as "bacterial SSU rRNA". It matches the Rfam family "Bacterial small subunit ribosomal RNA", at positions 193 to 899 of the family's 1533-position model. The record is from RNAcentral. Lineage: Bacteria; Bacillati; Bacillota; Bacilli; Caryophanales; Bacillaceae.
UUCAAGGAUGAAAGACGGUUUCGGCUGUCACUUACAGAUGGACCCGCGGCGCAUUAGCUAGUUGGUGAGGUAACGGCUCACCAAGGCGACGAUGCGUAGCCGACCUGAGAGGGUGAUCGGCCACACUGGGACUGAGACACGGCCCAGACUCCUACGGGAGGCAGCAGUAGGGAAUCUUCCGCAAUGGACGAAAGUCUGACGGAGCAACGCCGCGUGAGUGAUGAAGGUUUUCGGAUCGUAAAGCUCUGUUGUUAGGGAAGAACAAGUGCAAGAGUAACUGCUUGCACCUUGACGGUACCUAACCAGAAAGCCACGGCUAACUACGUGCCAGCAGCCGCGGUAAUACGUAGGUGGCAAGCGUUGUCCGAAAUUAUUGGGCGUAAAGGGCUCGCAGGCGGUUUCUUAAUUCUGAUGUGAAAGCCCCCGGCUCACCCGGNAAGGGUCAUUGAAAACUGGGAAACUUGAUUGCAGAAAAGGAGAGUGGAAUUCCACGUGUAGCGGUGAAAUGCGUAAAGAUGUGGAGGAACACCAGUGGCGAAGGCGACUCUCUGGUCUGUAACUGACGCUCAGGAGCGAANGCGNGGGGAGCAAACACGAUUACAUACCCUGGNAGUCCACGCCUUAACCAUAAUUGCUANCUGNUAGGGGGGUUUCCGCCCCUNACUGCUGCAACUAAAGCAUUAAGGACUCCNCCUGGGGAGUACGGUGCCACGAGUGGUA